UGUGACUGAGUGGCGGACGGGUGAGUAACGCGUGGGUAACCUGCCUCAUACAGGGGGAUAACAGUUAGAAAUGACUGCUAAUACCGCAUAAGACCACGGAGUCGCAUGACUCAGUGGGAAAAACUCCGGUGGUAUGAGAUGGACCCGCGUCUGAUUAGGUAGUUGGUGGGGUAACGGCCUACCAAGCCGACGAUCAGUAGCCGACCUGAGAGGGUGACCGGCCACAUUGGGACUGAGACACGGCCCAAACUCCUACGGGAGGCAGCAGUGGGGAAUAUUGCACAAUGGGGGAAACCCUGAUGCAGCGACGCCGCGUGAGCGAAGAAGUAUUUCGGUAUGUAAAGCUCUAUCAGCAGGGAAGAAAAUGACGGUACCUGACUAAGAAGCACCGGCUAAAUACGUGCCAGCAGCCGCGGUAAUACGUAUGGUGCAAGCGUUAUCCGGAUUUACUGGGUGUAAAGGGAGCGUAGACGGCUGUGUAAGUCUGAAGUGAAAGCCCGGGGCUCAACCCCGGGACUGCUUUGGAAACUAUGCAGCUAGAGUGUCGGAGAGGUAAGUGGAAUUCCCAGUGUAGCGGUGAAAUGCGUAGAUAUUGGGAGGAACACCAGUGGCGAAGGCGGCUUACUGGACGAUGACUGACGUUGAGGCUCGAAAGCGUGGGGAGCAAACAGGAUUAGAUACCCUGGUAGUCCACGCCGUAAACGAUGACUACUAGGUGUCGGGUGUCACAGACAUUCGGUGCCGCAGCAAACGCAAUAAGUAGUCCACCUGGGG
This 774-nucleotide ribosomal RNA is filed under the name uncultured bacterium. RNAcentral's name for it is "bacterial SSU rRNA". It matches the Rfam family "Bacterial small subunit ribosomal RNA", at positions 86 to 878 of the family's 1533-position model. The record is from RNAcentral.